Long non-coding RNA from Astyanax mexicanus (Mexican tetra), 605 nucleotides. RefSeq lists it as uncharacterized. Lineage: Eukaryota; Metazoa; Chordata; Actinopteri; Characiformes; Acestrorhamphidae. The transcript is spliced from 3 exons. The record is from RefSeq and is a predicted model, not a curated record.
UGAGUCACGUAACAGUUGAAAUCUGCUGAAUCAUCUUCCUGUAUCUCCACACUCUUCCUCAGCUGGUAGGUUCCAUCAUCAUUGGGUCUGAUUCCAGAAGAUGUGAUCAGAUGAUCAGGAAUUUCAGUGGUGAACUUCCUCAGACUCAUCUUCACGUGUUUGGGGUAGAAUCCCGUGAUCAGGCAGGUCAGGGUCAGCUUUUUCAAGUCAUUUUUUGAUUUCUUUGCAAAUAUAAAAACAGCAGGUGGAGCUAAAGACAGAAAACAGUUUAAACAAUUCAGUUUUCAGAACACAGAAUAAACAUGACUGACUGGCAGCUCAUAGCAUGUUAUGAUCUGAUCUGGACUCAUACAGUAAUGUGUUCAUGAUUUUAGCAGAAACUAUAGUAUUUUUUUAAUGUCUGAAUAAAAGUAAAUUAUAUUUUAUGUCCGUUUGCUUUCCUUCACUCAUUGUGUACUUUUAAGUAGCAUUAAAUAUUAUAUUUUCUGUAGUAACUGUAAGUAAAUUAUCAGGAUGUAUCAUCAUCAGAUAAUAAGGAAACAUGGUGAGUUGAAGCUCUUGCAGGUCUUGUCAGCAGAGCUUCAGCCAGUAUUUUCUUAUUAGAA